CCUACGGGGGGCAGCAGUGAGGAAUAUUGGUCAAUGGACGAGAGUCUGAACCAGCCAAGUAGCGUGAAGGAUGACUGCCCUAUGGGUUGUAAACUUCUUUUAUAUGGGAAUAAAACGUUCCACGUGUGGGAUUUUGUAUGUACCAUAUGAAUAAGGAUCGGCUAACUCCGUGCCAGCAGCCGCGGUAAUACGGAGGAUCCGAGCGUUAUCCGGAUUUAUUGGGUUUAAAGGGAGCGUAGGUGGAUUGUUAAGUCAGUUGUGAAAGUUUGCGGCUCAACCGUAAAAUUGCAGUUGAAACUGGCAGUCUUGAGUACAGUAGAGGUGGGCGGAAUUCGUGGUGUAGCGGUGAAAUGCUUAGCUAUCACGAAGAACUCCGAUUGCGAAGGCAGUUCACUGGACUGCAACUGACACUGAGGCUCGAAAGUGUGGGUAUCAAACAGGAUUAGAUACCCGAGUAGUC
RNAcentral lists this ribosomal RNA (460 nucleotides) under uncultured bacterium. RNAcentral's name for it is "partial 16S ribosomal RNA". It matches the Rfam family "Bacterial small subunit ribosomal RNA", at positions 338 to 795 of the family's 1533-position model. The record is from RNAcentral.